CCCAAGCUGGGCUUGAACUUGUGGUUCUUACUUGGUUCAGGCUGCUCCCUGCCUCGAUCUCAGUGGUAUCACUGUAGAAGGGAUCUGUUCUUCCAAGGCUAAGGUGAGGAGGAGCCAAGCCCAGUGGUACUGUUGUGUUCUCUUAGAGUUGAGUCAUGCAGCCUCCUGCCCUUAACCCACCCUGCACACCAGAUCAGAUCACACCUGGGCUUUCUCAGAGUUCCUGAUCCACCCUGACUUUGGCCUCUCACCCCUGGGCUUAUCUGAGUGGUCCCUGCAGGUGAGCUGACUCCUAGGAGGCAGAGUUGGAACCAUAGUUCCAUGUCUGCCUCAGGGUGGUGGCAGUGUGAAGUUGUGGAAAGUCCUGUGGGUCACAGCCGACAUCCUUGCCUCAUCCUCCACAGAAGCAGUGCAAAGCACAGCUCCAAGACCAUCCUCCUCUUCCUGUGUGGCUUUCCUUCUCCAUGUCAGUGAUGACACGUGUUCACUUCAGGUACAGGUGUACUGGCCCCAACUUUACCAAGCCAGCCUCAUCCUCCUUCAAGACACAGCAAGAUUUGCAGGGGUGCUCAGCUGCUGGCCUCAGCUUCCUGUCCAGACACCAUGGAGUGACACCCAGAGAUCCCCUAGACCUGCAUCCUGAGACUUCAGGAGAAACAGGGCCUUGUGGACCAAUUUGUGCUGAGUAUUCCCUGACCCCCGAGCAGGAGCAGUAAUCUCAGAGGAACUUGAUUUUCACCUGUGGCCACAAGGACCUCUCACCUCGAAGAAAUAGUCCAGGGAAAACCAC
RNAcentral lists this long non-coding RNA (790 nucleotides) under Heterocephalus glaber (naked mole-rat). Its description in RNAcentral is "lncRNA (ENSHGLG00100051706.1)". Lineage: Eukaryota; Metazoa; Chordata; Mammalia; Rodentia; Bathyergidae. The record is from RNAcentral.